UUUGUAUUCCCGCAUAAACUAAUGACCAAUAACCAAACGAUAUUCGCGGUCACGUGACUUCUGGUUCUGCUUUCUGGUGCGAUAGAGUUUGUCCUUUGAGAACGCAAACCGGACCAGUUAAACAAUCAAAACAAAUGUAUCGUCUUGCCUUGGAUUCAAAUCAGGAAACAGACCUUUAGGUGUGAACAUGACCUAAGAAUCUGAGUUGUUUUGCAGUUCUGGCUCUCCUUUGUUAUAUUUUUGCAUCAAGAUUAAUUGAUUGAUUAGUUGAUUUUAUUUAUAUGCGUGUCAGGCACACAUAGUGUCCAACCCUUAUGGGUUUACAGGAUUCCAAAGAUACAGCUGCAAUUACAGAGCCAGUUUGAAAGUGCAUGUUCCUGAAACAUCUAGACCUUAAACAUUGCAUCCAGCGUUUUCCCUUUCAUGCUUUGCAGACCUGCUACAAGUAAGGUUCCUCCUCUGAAACACUGAAAUUUUUCACAAUCAUCCAACCAGAAGAAAUCAGCAUUAAUCCCGGACAUUUUACGGAAAGCACACCCCUGCAGUCCUCCUAGAUGGGACCGUAAAACAGGAAGUCUCAUUUUCAAUUUCUCCCAAGCUCACAAACUGUGCAUCAAACCAGCCAGAACAGUGUUUCUGAGCCUAACUGUGCAUGUGAGUGAUCUUUGUUGAGGUGUGCCAACUCUUUUUACCACAAUCAGCCCAGUUUCUCAGCCGGACUCUUCUACUACAGAGCCAUGCUUUUGUAAUCCCUGUUGUCAGAGUGUGGUUUGUCAUUGUCUUGCUGAAAUAUGAAGGUCCUCUCUGAAAAACUCUUUGUCUGGAUGUCAGCAGAUGUUGCUCCUAAACCUGUAGAUAUUGUUCAGCAUUCAUGGAGCCUUCACAGAUAUAAAAGCUCUAUCAAAUCUGUGCUGGUGUCUCCUGAGGAAAAGAAAAAAAAAGGAGAAUGAAGUUCCUUGAUAAAGACUUAACAUAUAUACAAUAAUAAUACUAAAAACGGUCUCAUUUCAUACAAAUAAUCCUGCUAAUAUGCUUUUGAGAGCCUCUGUCACAGCCAUGUACGGCACCACCUGUCACAGAUUCUGGUCCUUUCCCCACAUUUACACUAACUGUCCACCAGAGGGCACUGCAAACCUUCAGUUUGAUUCCAAUGCCAUGGAGCAAAUCUGGGUUUGUUAGAAAUGCAUGAAAACUCAAGUUCGUUCCCUCUGAGAUGAACUGUAACACUGAAGCAAUCAUUAAACAAAUGUAACACAGAGUCCUUGGCAAACUACAGCUCAGAAAUUAUUGAAGGCUUAUCAUAAUGAACCUUCAUUUACUCUUUAAAAAAGGUUUAAAGUAUCAGUGAGUCCUGAGAAGUAGAGAUGAGACUUAAGCUGCUGGUUUACCUACACACAUUAUAUUAAUUAUAUACAAUUCUGUCUAUUUCUCUCUCUCUCUCUCCGUCUGUCUGGUUUACUAAAAUAUGACUUUAGCCAUGCAACAACAACAUGAUAAACUCAAAACUAAUGAAAAUACAGGUCGAAGUGGUGGGAGUGGUAGUAUUUCUAUCAAUACCAGGGUAACAUUGUAAUCUUGGUUUACUCAGAGAAGAGACUAUCACUCCUCUUCCACAUGUAUGGGAUAUGAUCUCCUGCUAGUCGGGGUCUGUGGAUAAAGCUUUAAAGCUCUUAACAUGUUUUGUGCAUGUGAGUGAUCUUUGUUGAGGUGUGCCAACUCUUUUUACCACAAUCAGUCCAGUUUCUCAGCAGGACUCUUCUACUACAGAGCCAUGCUUUUGUAAUCCCUGUUGUCAGAAUGUGGUUUGUCAUUGUCUUGCUGAAAUAUGAAAGUCCUCUCUGAAAAACUCUUUGUCUGGAUGUCAGCAGAUGUUGCUCCUAAACCUGAAGAUAUUGUUCAGCAUUCAUGGAGCCUUCACAGAUAUAAAAGCUACCCAUGACAUGGACUCGGAAGAUCCCCAUACCAUCAGGGAUGCUGGAUUUGAACUGGGAGCUGAGAACAAGCUGGGUGGUCUUUAUCACCCUUUAGACUGGAUGUUGCAGGAUUCAAGAUUUCCAGUAAGAAUGUCAAACUUUGAUUUAUCAGACCCUGUUGGUUUUGGUCUUUGUCCCUUUAGUACAGAGAUUUCUCCAGAUUCUCUCAAUCUUUUAAUGAUGUGAUGUUCUGUAGAUCAGUGGUUCUCAAGUCCAGUCCUCGAGGCCCACUGUCCUUCAUGUUUUGGAUGUUUCCCUGCUCCAACACACCUGAUUCAAAUGAUCAGC
Non-coding RNA from Xyrichtys novacula (pearly razorfish), 2261 nucleotides. The record is from the annotation of a GenBank genome assembly. NCBI's taxonomy places the organism in Eukaryota, Metazoa, Chordata, Actinopteri, Labriformes, Labridae.